GGACUACUAGGGUAUCUAAUCCCGUUUGCUCCCCUGGCUUUCGCGUCUCAGCGUCAGAAAACGUCCAGGACCUCGCUUUCGCCACGGGCGUUCCAUCCGAUCUCAACGCAUUUCACCGCUCCACCGGAUGUUCCAGGUCCCCCUACGUCCCUCCAGGACGGUCGUAUCGGCGCCCGUUCCCCGGUUGAGCCGGGGGCUUUCAGCAACGGACGUGCCCUCCCGCCUACACGCGCUUUAAGCCCAGUGAUUCCGAAUAACGUUCGCACGGUUCGUCUUACCGCGGCUGCUGGCAC
This 293-nucleotide ribosomal RNA is filed under the name uncultured bacterium. RNAcentral describes it as "partial 16S ribosomal RNA". The record is from RNAcentral. RNAcentral also lists the same sequence under 2 other names.